Molecule: ribosomal RNA, 637 nt
Filed under: Rhodococcus sp. JDM-3-11
Lineage: Bacteria; Bacillati; Actinomycetota; Actinomycetes; Mycobacteriales; Nocardiaceae
Description: bacterial SSU rRNA
Rfam family: Bacterial small subunit ribosomal RNA
Source: RNAcentral
GGGGAAUGGGCGGCGUGCUUACACAUGCAAGUCGAACGAUGAAGCCCAGCUUGCUGGGUGGAUUAGUGGCGAACGGGUGAGUAACACGUGGGUGAUCUGCCCUGCACUUCGGGAUAAGCCUGGGAAACUGGGUCUAAUACCGGAUAGGACCUCGGGAUGCAUGUUCCGGGGUGGAAAGGUUUUCCGGUGCAGGAUGGGCCCGCGGCCUAUCAGCUUGUUGGUGGGGUAACGGCCCACCAAGGCGACGACGGGUAGCCGGCCUGAGAGGGCGACCGGCCACACUGGGACUGAGACACGGCCCAGACUCCUACGGGAGGCAGCAGUGGGGAAUAUUGCACAAUGGGCGCAAGCCUGAUGCAGCGACGCCGCGUGAGGGAUGACGGCCUUCGGGUUGUAAACCUCUUUCAGUACCGACGAAGCGCAAGUGACGGUAGGUACAGAAGAAGCACCGGCCAACUACGUGCCAGCAGCCGCGGUAAUACGUAGGGUGCGAGCGUUGUCCGGAAUUACUGGGCGUAAAGAGCUCGUAGGCGGUUUGUCGCGUCGUCUGUGAAAACCCGCAGCUCAACUGCGGGCUUGCAGGCGAUACGGGCAGACUUGAGUACUGCAGGGGAGACUGGAAUUCCUGGUGUAGCGG